This is a long non-coding RNA of Oncorhynchus keta (chum salmon), 721 nucleotides long. RefSeq lists it as uncharacterized. NCBI's taxonomy places the organism in Eukaryota, Metazoa, Chordata, Actinopteri, Salmoniformes, Salmonidae. The record is from RefSeq and is a predicted model, not a curated record. The transcript is spliced from 3 exons.
UCCUCCCCUCAGCAGCCUCCACUGACUUACCAGUCAGUAAGUGUUAGGUUGCGUGUUUAGCCUGCUAGCUACGUUAGCUGCUAACCUUAGUGUGUUCGAUGUUCAAGCUAGCUAACAAGGCUACUUAGCUAGCUAACAUCUUCUGUAUUCAGUCUUUUUUGUACUCAAAGGAAUCUAACAAUGGCAUCAUAAAUCUACACUGCACAAACCCCCCAAUGCCUGUAUUUCAACUAACUAACAUUAGCUAGCAAAAGCUAGAAAUGCAGAUUGUUGACAUGAUAGUGUUUCAUUUGUAGAUAACUAGCUAGCUAGCUAGGUGGACAACAGCAUUUUCGGCCCAUGUACACCCCAAAAAAUGCAUCUAUGCAUAACAUUUGGUAAAGUAACAUCACACAAACAUCACACCAGAGAUACUGGUGGAGAUGGUCUGAUUUCGAGGGAAUCUGAGGCUGUUCAAAUUGUGGUUGUGCAAACCCCAACACUGAAAGAGAGUGCCAACAAUCCCCACAGACAGACUGGUCCCUCCUGUCCCACUACCAACCAAGCAAGAGUAUCUCCAGGAGCAUCAGUGCUAGGCUUGAGACCUCUGCUGGGGCUUGGAGAGGAAAGAGAGCUUACUCAUUUCUCUACUGGCUUACCCACAGACAAGUAGACCAGUGACAGUACUGCCCAUGGAGAGUGGACCAGUGGUGCUGCCAGGAGGAAGUGGAGUCAUGACGAC